UUGCAAAUUUAACUCUAAAAUGAGAAGUGUAUGACGAUCUAUAACGAAUAUAUACAUCCAUCAUGUGUGCAGAUACGGCGGAUAUAUAGGGUCUGUCAUGAGUGCACUUUGUAUGCCCUGCAUGUGUGCACCCAGGAGGUCCUCCAGAGCGGUGUUUAGACGUACCGGGAAAAUCUUAUCUGAUUCAGGAUCAAUUCAUCGGUUACACUCCCCUGUCACCAGUAAUUCUUUUUUGCUGACAUUCUGAAAAAGUAUUGUGUCCCUGUGUAAGUGUUGACUCUCAACUUGCACAUGUGAUUUUUUAACACUCCCCGGACUUCUGCAAAAAACAAUUAUUCAGUUCACUGAUUAAGAUGGAAGGGCAAGAACAUGAAAGCUAAAGGGGAAACUAUAAGCAGAAGAAAUUAUCAACAAAAUAAGAUUUACAGAGGUCAACAAAGCCUAAAUGGUCAGACAUCUCAAUUUUCAUGGUCAUCAUUCACAGAUCAAUACUGAACGGAAAACUUAAAGCUGAUAUUUUUCUCCAUGGUGCGACUUUUUUAUGAAUUUGAAAUGGAACAUGUUUUUUCCUACAUUAUUUGAAAGAGGAAAUUUCAACAUGAUGACUAUAAACAAAAAGGAGUCAUAUCAUCACGAUCAUUGAUGCACAAGAACUUGAUCAUAUAAAUACAACAAUGUAAUUAUCAAUUGAAAGAUGGAACGAAUGAACAAGAUAUUAGAAUGUUGUUGUCCAAAUAAACUUGCUUUGUCUUCUCAUUUGAAUCUCUCCAUUCAAUAAAGAUGUACAGAGGAAGAUCUUUGAAGAACAGAUUGAAAAAUAUUUUGUCUAAGAAUUGCAGGAAUAUUCUAGUGAAUGAAAUUAUUAAUUGACUUCACUCUUAUAUAGUGGACUGAAUAAUUGUACAUAGCAAGCUGUGAAUAAAGAAAGCAAAAACUUUAACAAAAAGUGUUUAUAUUAUAAAUUUGCAAAUAUAAGCAUACUAUUAUGUACACCACAAAGGUAUAUAUAAUUCAAAUUGUUUGCCUAUACAAGUAUUGCAAUGAACCUAUAACAAAGAAAAUCUUACCUCAUGAAAAGAGUGAACUAUUCAGUCAGAAUAUGAAAUAUUUUUUCAGUUCUAUUUUUCAUAAUAGAAUAAACAAGACAAAGAUUUCAA
Long non-coding RNA from Mytilus trossulus (common blue mussel), 1157 nucleotides. RefSeq lists it as uncharacterized. The transcript has 3 exons. The record is from RefSeq and is a predicted model, not a curated record. Lineage: Eukaryota; Metazoa; Mollusca; Bivalvia; Mytilida; Mytilidae.